AUUGAACGCUGGCGGCAUGCCUUACACAUGCAAGUCGAACGGCAGCGGACCUUCGGGUGCCGGCGAGUGGCGAACGGGUGAGUAAUAUAUCGGAACGUACCUUUCAGUGGGGGAUAACGUAGCGAAAGUUACGCUAAUACCGCAUAUUCUGUGAGCAGGAAAGCAGGGGAUCGCAAGACCUUGCGCUGAUUGAGCGGCCGAUAUCAGAUUAGCUAGUUGGUGAGGUAAAGGCUCACCAAGGCGACGAUCUGUAGCGGGUCUGAGAGGAUGAUCCGCCACACUGGAACUGAGACACGGUCCAGACUCCUACGGGAGGCAGCAGUGGGGAAUUUUGGACAAUGGGCGCAAGCCUGAUCCAGCCAUGCCGCGUGAGUGAAGAAGGCCUCGGUUGUAAGACUACUUUCGGUCCGGGUAACGGAAAGUACGACACA
This 431-nucleotide ribosomal RNA is filed under the name uncultured bacterium. RNAcentral describes it as "bacterial SSU rRNA". It matches the Rfam family "Bacterial small subunit ribosomal RNA", at positions 30 to 464 of the family's 1533-position model. The record is from RNAcentral.